RNAcentral lists this ribosomal RNA (301 nucleotides) under uncultured bacterium. Its description in RNAcentral is "partial 16S ribosomal RNA". It matches the Rfam family "Bacterial small subunit ribosomal RNA", at positions 509 to 807 of the family's 1533-position model. The record is from RNAcentral.
CAGUCGCCGCGGGAAUACGAAGGGUGCAAGCGUUAAUCGGAAUUACUGGGCGUAAAGGGCUCGCAGGCGGUUUCUUAAGUCUGAUGUGAAAGCCCCCGGCUCAACCGGGGAGGGUCAUUGGAAACUGGGAAACUUGAGUGCAGAAGAGGAGAGUGGAAUUCCACGUGUAGCGGUGAAAUGCGUAGAGAUGUGGAGGAGCACCAGUGGCGAAGGCGACUCUCUGGUCUGUAACUGACGCUGAGGAGCGAAAGCGUGGGGAGCGAACAGGAUUAGAUACCCGCGUAGUCCCUGUCUCUUAUAC